This 465-nucleotide ribosomal RNA is filed under the name uncultured bacterium. RNAcentral's name for it is "partial 16S ribosomal RNA". It matches the Rfam family "Bacterial small subunit ribosomal RNA", at positions 28 to 507 of the family's 1533-position model. The record is from RNAcentral.
GACGAACGCUGGCGGCGUGCUUAACACAUGCCAGUCGAACGGAAAGGCCCCUUUCGUGUUCCUCGAGUGGCGGACGGGUGAGUAACACUUACGUAACCUGCCCUUGACUUCGGGAUAACUUCAGGAAACUGGGGCUAAUACCGGUUAGGCAUCCUUGCUUCAUGGAGAGGGUUGGAAAGCUUGCGCGGUUUUGGCUGGACUCGCGGCUUAUCAGCUGGUUUGUGGGGUAGUGGCUUACCAAGGCGUUGACGGGUAGCCGGCAUGAGAGGGCGACCGGCCACAAUGGGACUGCGAGACGGCGCAGAAUCCUACGGGAGGCAGCAGUGGGGAAUAUUGCACAACGGGCGGAAGUCUGAUGCAGCAACGCCCCGUGCGGGAUGACGGGCUUCGGGUGGUAAACCGCGUUCAGCAGGGGCGAAGCUUGUGGUGACGGUACCUGCAGAAGAAGCACCGGCUAACUACGUG